Molecule: non-coding RNA, 2956 nt
Organism: Meleagris gallopavo (turkey)
Lineage: Eukaryota; Metazoa; Chordata; Aves; Galliformes; Phasianidae
Source: RefSeq, a predicted model, not a curated record
CCCAAUUGCAAGUGCCUUGUGCAAUGAUGUUGUGAAUAUGUGCAUUGCCAAAACACAAUUACUGGGAGGAGAGACAAACUGUUGGGAAUGUCAUGUUAUGCCAAAUUGAGAAUUAUUAACUCUUUCUUUCUCUGCGCAGUCUUUUCAGCUAUAACUCCAUAUAUUGCAUCUGGCUUAUAUUUUGACUCUGCUGGAACUAAUGUGUCCUUGGAGUUGCAUUUUUAGAGUAAUUUCAGAUUUGUAUGUGUUGUCGUUGUUUUUGUGUUGUUUUUUUUCCUCCACCAGGCUGCUUUAAACUGUUGGGAUUAACGUCAGAGAAGGCAAGAGAUACAGCCUCCUUUGUCAGCAACUGUGUUGGUUAAAAAGGAGGCUUCGUGCACACUUGCUCUCUCUUUUGCAGGUUAUUGCUCCCACUAAGCAAGGAAGUUGAACUGUUUUCCUGAGCACACCCAGAAUUAAUUCAGCCCAAGCUGAUCAGGUUAUCACAUGCUGGUUACUGCUGGCCUGGGUCAUUCUGAUGGAAGAGCAGGAAGCACACAGACCAGCUGCACCAAUGCUUUGGGGUGUCACCAACAGGGGAGUUGUGGAGCUGGUGAUGGUGGUUUGGUGUUUUCAGCAGGUGCAGCUGCGUCUCUAAGGUUGAAAUAAAUGCAUGCAACUCGUGCGAUUCAAAGUUCUGUGCAGCCUGGGGAGAUGGUACUGGCUCUUCAGCAGCAGGCUCAGGGGCACAGGCACUGCAGACGGGAAGCAGUUGUUUGCGCUUCAACUUCUGAAUCUUGUGCAACUGUGGUUUUGGCCAACUUGGGUAUCUUCUGCUCUCAGGCAAGCAAUAUGUUAUCAGUGAGGUCCCAAAUGCCAGGUAUGAUUAGCUCAUGUUUAGAGUGGUGUUGUUAUGUUUUGACGUGUAUGUGCAAGCCUGCUUUCAUGCAGAAGAACAUAUUUGACGUGGGAAGAAUGCUGUGUGAUUCAGAAAAAGUUAGAAACAUUAUUUAAAGCUGUGCACUAGUGUUUUAGAUUUCAUAAAAGGCCACAAAGUUUUUAUUUCUACGUUUAUGAUUGAUUAGGGUUAGAGUUUUAAAAGCUUAACGCUGGCUACAAGUGCUUUGUAGUCAGUCACUGAGAAUUAUAGGCUUGGCAUAAUUCACAUUUCUAUUCUUCAGUAUAUCCAUUAUUGUUAGAUGCUGAGUAGUCAUUGCACACAGAUGACUGAUUUUUUAAAAAUUUUAUUUUACAGUUUUACACAUGUGGAAAAAUACUUUGUUAAAGCAGCUCCUGGGUGAACGGGGUAAUUAAAGAACUGCGCCGCUUUUAUUGGAGUUGACACAUGCUGCACGUUCUUUAAAACCCAGUAUGUGAGCAGAAUGCUUCCAGGAUUUAUUGCCAGUCAGACAAGUAGAGAUACUUUUAAUAGGAGUAAAGAUAACUUCAAUUUUUACACUGUUAAAUAAAACUGUCUUAAGGAAGAGAACUAUGACUGUGAUACAUUGCUCAUGCCCUUGUUUUUUUUCUGUAUAUAUGCAUUUUGUAGACACACCUGCACACAAAUGCUGGAGACGUGAGCACUUUUAUUUGACAGUAAUUGCAUGUUCUGUUUUUACUUAUCUGGAGAAAAAAUAGUGUUGUAAUGCCGACUGAGGAUCUUAGUUUGCUUGGUGCCAGAGGAAUCCUGCAGUUGGUUUCUUUAUUUAAACUGAAAUGCAAUCCUCCUUAGUUUGACUUGCAGCUCUUAGUGUCUGAGAGCUUGGUGUAGCAAGCAGGGAAUCUCACGUAAUGUAAAUUGGAGACUUGGUUUUGUUUUGAAUGAUAUGAUGAGCGCAAUGUUCUGCUUGCAUAAUGCCUUACAAGUUGUGAAAAAAAGUAGACUCAUAACUGCAGCACAGAGCGACUAAGUGCACUGUACAUGAAAUCCCUCAAAAUGGCUAUUGAACAGAUACAGUUACUGACAGCGUCAUUUCUAGUGAUGCGAUCCAUUUCCUUUCCUCUGCUUUCUUUUUCCAGCAUAUUGGAACAAUUUGAAGUCCAUUUGAGAACACUCAGUCUGCCUUUCCUGUUAACAGCUCAUGUCCUAAAAGUAUCUUUAGCAUUCCUUUUUUAAAACUACAAAUAUGUGUUUAAUGAAGAGUUCACAAACACAUAGCCCUCAAGAUCAAGCCAUUUCUUAGCUCACUUUGCAUGCCUUUUGUUCACACAGCUCGCGGUGUGGAGCACCCUGCCAAGCAUUCUCUGCUCCUCUGAGCUGCAGUGAGAAGUGGAUGACCAGUGCUGCACACAGCUAAGCACCCAGCCUUAUCAGCAAGCGUGCUUUAGGUAGGUACGGGUGCAAAGUGCUUUCCUGAAGGAGCAAGCAGGUGUGGAAAAUAUCAGAAGGCCAGGUUCUUCUGCUGUGACUCCUAAAAGCAAGCCCAGCACGGGGCUAACACUGUCAGCAGCAGCCACACCUCUGCCAGCCCCAGACUGUGCCAGGUGGGUGGAAGCUGUGUGCCUGGGAUCAGUGGAAAGGGACACAGCAGGGGAGGCAAACGUGCUGUUUCUUGUUUUCUGAAUGCUUCCAGGUUAAAGCACAGCCGUCUACAUCUCCACGCUGAGGGCGAGGAAGUCACAGAGUCGCAGUGUUGAGCAGCACAGUGGCUGGAGGUGAUUUUUUAUUUUUUUUUCUUCUCCCAAAGUCUUCUUUUAAAAUAGUUACAAUUACAUCACAGACAACUUUUGCGUGGAAAGCCCAGUAUGGCAAUGUUAUUUAAUAAGAAAUGCUUUCGCAACAUUAAAUUCUUAGUAGCAUCAUGUAUCAUCUGUAUUUUGUGUUGUUCUUACAGCUAUUUGGCUUAAGACCAUCAUGCUUUCGCUUUGGUAUUUUGGGACAUUUAAACUGUUAAACUCCAAGCACUUUUCAGGCAUUACGUUUGACUUACUAUUACUGCGUACUAUAAAAUAUAAUAAAACACAAUAUUAAAGUCUA